UGCAGUCUAGUAAAGAGGGCAGGUAAUUCGAUAAAGGGUUAAAAGCCACUGUAAAUGUAGGAUUAGAGGAAUGUAGGCAGACGGUGAUGGGGACGUGGACAUGGGGCUGAUGGAGCACCCAACUGCCCAGCUGUGGGCUGACAGGAUAGUGUGGGUGGUUGAGGGUUGAGCUGGCUUUUGAAGUGUACAGAGAAUUCGCCAGCCAGAUAAGAGCGGAACGCAUCUGAGAGUGAAAAGAUUAUGCAAAGGCUCAGGCGUAUAAAAGAACCAUGUCACAUUCAGGAACUCUGAGGAGUGAGGAGUAGCAAGAGAGCAGUGGGUACUUGGAGCAAAUACGAUUGGAGACAAGGCUGGUGAGGCAGGCGGGAGAAAGCAGGGCUCAGUGUGCCCUGUACUGGAAUCUGCUCUUGCUCUGGGUUGAAGAUAGCAAGUGCAUCUCUGGGCAACUACUGCAGCUGGCUGUGGGGGACUGAUGCAUACUGUUGAGGCUGAUCUUACUCUGUCUCCUCUCUAUGUUGGACAACAUCAUUGUCACUAUCAACAUGACUUUGUCCCUUCUUGCUGUCUCCCUUUUAUCCCUCCAAAUGCUCAAUCGAAAUACCUGAACUACCCGAAAGUUAAAUGCACCACUGCAUCUAUUCAGGUUCAAGAACAGUAUUUCACAUUACCUGUGAAGCCCUCAAUGAAGGCUGACUGCUGUACAUCCCCGCUAAUCGUCAAGACAAGAAUUUUGUAUUGGCGGCCUGGUGUUAGGGAAGUAAAUCGAUACUCGGUUGCGGUAUUUACAAGGUGAAAAGGAGGAAAUACUUUCAUGUCAUUGAAGAGCAGCUGGAUCUCAUAUUGGUCGACAUCCCCAUUAGCUCCUGACCAAGUCACAUGCAAGUCCUCAGUGCUCCUGUUGCGCAAUGUUAGAUCCUUAACAGGCUCUGGAACUAGGGAGAAAAAUGAGAAGACAUUUCAGGAAAGGAACUGAUCAGAGUUUACCUACAUAAUAAUUUAUGAAUCACAUUCAAGGAACUGGCAACAUCUCCCUUCCCCAAAUAAACCACUAGCACUACUUCAUGCAUAAUUAAACAAGAAAAAUUGGAAGCAACUAUUAACAUUGUGGUUUUUUCCUGACAUAAAUGUUACAUGAUCAGCAUUGGUAGAACAUAAUUAUAAAAUGAGUUAUGAUCUCAAUCAUAAGAUAAAACAAGAAGUCUAGAAUCUAAAUGCCAUGAUGCAGGAAGAUAGGGAAGAAAAAUGGGACAUUUAGCCUUCUUGCUCCCUCACUAUGUUUGCUUUUAUCUACCAAUAAAUAUUCUGUAAUUAUAGGCCAUGGCUUGGCUGAAUGAUGUUAGCACCAAGUGAGACUUACUGGGAAUGUAAUGUACUAAUGAAUAAGCAGAAAAAAUUCAAGGUUCAGAUAAAUUACUAGAGACUUUCAAGUCCAACCAACUGUCAGAUUUUGCAAUCGUUC
Molecule: long non-coding RNA, 1459 nt
Filed under: Homo sapiens (human)
Lineage: Eukaryota; Metazoa; Chordata; Mammalia; Primates; Hominidae
Description: HSALNT0369097
Source: RNAcentral